Molecule: ribosomal RNA, 468 nt
Filed under: uncultured bacterium
Lineage: Bacteria
Description: partial 16S ribosomal RNA
Rfam family: Bacterial small subunit ribosomal RNA
Source: RNAcentral
GACGAACGCUGGCGGCGUGCUUAACACAUGCAAGUCGAACGGAAAGGCCCUGCUUUUGUGGGGUGCUCGAGUGGCGAACGGGUGAGUAACACGCGAGUAACCUGCCCUUGACUUUGGGAUAACUUCAGGAAACUGGGGCUAAUACCGGAUAGGAGCUCCUGCUGCACGGUGGGGGAUGGAAAGUGUCGGCGGUGGUGGAUGGACUCGCGGCUUAUCAGCUUGUUGGUGGGGUAGUGGCAUACCAAGGCUUUGACGGGUAGCCCGCCUGAGAGGGUGGCCGGGCACAAUGGGACUGAGGUAGGCAGCAGUCUCCUACGGGAGGCAGCAGGGGGGAAUAUUACGCAGUAGGCGGGAGCCUGAUGCAGCGACGCCCCGUGCGGGAUGACGGCCUUCGGGUUAUAAACCGCUGUCGCCUGUGACGAAGCGUGAGUGACGGUAAUGGGUAAAGAAGCACCGGCUAACUACGUG